Molecule: non-coding RNA, 333 nt
Organism: Plectropomus leopardus (leopard coralgrouper)
Lineage: Eukaryota; Metazoa; Chordata; Actinopteri; Perciformes; Serranidae
Source: RefSeq, a predicted model, not a curated record
UCCCAGGAAGUUCACUAUUUCCAGCAAGGGAACCAAACAGCCACUCUGGAGUCAGAGUGACGCUGGAGGAUAAUUCUCGGUGGCUCAUCCAUAAAGGACCGGACAACGCACCGCCAGGGUCCCAUCAGACGGUGGUGACCAGAGCUGAAAACAUGAGCCCGAGGUGGACGGAAACUGGAGUCACCCGAGAUUUUAACGGGCAGAAGACCAUGUCUGACUUUGUUGGAGCUGGAGGAAAAGAUUACAAACUGUUUGGUGCCAACUGUCACGAUGCAAAGGAUGCCAUGAUGAAUCAGAAAUAAAACCGAGCUCAGUUUUAUUCUGAGGAGUGAA